CCCUUAGAUGUUCCGGGCCGCACACGCGCUACACUGAAGGAGGCAGCGUGUACUCCUGGAUCGAAAGAUUUGGGUAACCCGCGAAUCUCCUUCGUGCUAGGGAUUGAGGUUUGCAAUUAUCCUUCAUGAACGAGGAAUUCCCAGUAAGUGCAAGUCAUAAGCUUGCGCUGACUACGUCCCUGCCCUUUGUACACACCGCCCGUCGCUACUACCGAUUGAAUGAUUUAGUGAGGACUUCGGACUGGGACCGAUGCGGCUUUCGGGCUGCGUCGGUAUUCUGGAAAGAUGUCCAAACUGUNUNAUUUAGNGGAAGUAAAANUCGUANCA
RNAcentral lists this ribosomal RNA (327 nucleotides) under uncultured eukaryote. RNAcentral's name for it is "partial 18S ribosomal RNA". It matches the Rfam family "Eukaryotic small subunit ribosomal RNA", at positions 1470 to 1796 of the family's 1831-position model. The record is from RNAcentral.